Molecule: transfer RNA, 73 nt
Filed under: Wolinella sp. enrichment culture SL2 clone SL2-ITS
Lineage: Bacteria; Pseudomonadati; Campylobacterota; Epsilonproteobacteria; Campylobacterales; Helicobacteraceae
Description: tRNA-Ala
Rfam family: tRNA (bases 29-73)
About the family: Transfer RNA (tRNA) molecules are approximately 80 nucleotides in length.
Source: RNAcentral
AGGUUCAACUCCUCUUAAGCCCACCAUUGGGGAAUUAGCUCAGCUGGGAGAGCGCCUGCUUUGCACGCAGGAG